CGAAGGUUGAGAAGAGCUUCUGUGAUCCUGUCUGAAGCUAAGACUGUUUCCUGGGCAACAGCUCUCCAAAUUUGUAACACCCUGAGCGGCUCUGCUGGCCAACCAGAUGUCCCGCUGUUUCUGUACCAACAUGAUGAGCCAAGGCCUUUCAGGAAACUGGAGCCUGCAUGGAAUUGGUUGCCAC
This is a long non-coding RNA of Lemur catta (Ring-tailed lemur), 184 nucleotides long. RefSeq lists it as uncharacterized. NCBI's taxonomy places the organism in Eukaryota, Metazoa, Chordata, Mammalia, Primates, Lemuridae. The record is from RefSeq and is a predicted model, not a curated record. The transcript has 3 exons.